AUUGAACGCUGGCGGCAGGCCUAACACACGCAAGUCGGACGGUAGCACAGAGGAGCUUGCUCCUUGGGUGGCGAGUGGCGGACGGGUGAGUAAUGUCUGGGGAUCUGCCCGAUAGAGGGGGAUAACCACUGGAAACGGUGGUUAAUACCGCAUAACGUCGCAAGACCAAAGAGGGGGACCUUCGGGCCUCUCACUAUCGGAUGAACCCAGAUGGGAUUAGCUAGUAGGCGGGGUAAUGGCCCACCUAGGCGACGAUCCCUAGCUGGUCUGAGAGGAUGACCAGCCACACUGGAACUGAGACACGGUCCAGACUCCUACGGGAGGCAGCAGUGGGGAAUAUUGCACAAUGGGCGCAAGCCUGAUGCAGCCAUGCCGCGCGUAUGAAGAAGGCCUUCGGGUUGUAAAGUACUUUCAGCGGGGAGGAAGGCGAUGCGGUUAAUAACCGCGUCGAUUGACGUUACCCGCAGAAGAAGCAUCGGCUAACUCCGUGCCAGCAGCCGCCGUAA
RNAcentral lists this ribosomal RNA (506 nucleotides) under uncultured bacterium. RNAcentral's name for it is "partial 16S ribosomal RNA". It matches the Rfam family "Bacterial small subunit ribosomal RNA", at positions 29 to 523 of the family's 1533-position model. The record is from RNAcentral.